UAAUCAUAAUCAGUAAUGUUAUGCUGCCACAAUGUAAUUGGCCACACGUGGCAGUUUUGUAAAUAGUUGAAACAGAUAAUAUUAUUGGUAGAGGCCACCGUUUAUCUUCUCCUUCGUUUGGUACACCUCAAAUUUGUCGCAGAACCGGAAGAAAAAUCUCAGAUCUCGCUGGAAUUGAUAAUAGAAUCGGCAAUUGAGGCAUUCCACUAUCUGAGCAAAUUUAUGGUCGCAGGUGCUCUCGGGUCUGAUGGUGCUAGCGGAGUCGUGGGAAGGGAACAAUGCUUGCCAACAAUGGCAAUUCAUCCACUGCGAUGCGCAAGGGAGCAAUGUGGCGAUUGUGAACAUGGCGAAGCAGGGGUUUUCGGGCACUAUAUCGCCUGCGUUUGCUAAUCUCACUUCGCUGAGGACUUUGGUGCUGAGUGAUAACAAGCUCACAGGUGACAUUCCCUGAAUUUGACCCAUACGAAAGAGAUGCAAUGAGGUAUGGAGCUUGUGUUUAUACCCUGAAAUUGAGGACAACAUUAUCCCCCAAAUUUCAAACCCUGAAUUUGGGGGUUUUAUUUUCUGGUAUCCCCUAUUUCAAAUUUCUUCUCAAGCGCAUCAAAUUGAACAAUGGGUUGAGAAAUAUCCGUCGCACAUAUUUAAAUUGGAAUUUUGCUAAUGUGUUUCGAAAGAUCCGUCGCAUAUAUGAAUUAUAAGUUCGAAUAUAUGUUUUGAAAUGCUCUGCAGGGUUGAUAAUGCAUUUUUUGGAUUUGUUCUGCGAUGUGUCUAAGGAAUUUCUCCGAUAGUAACUAUGGUUGUGUUCAUUGUGGACUUAUAUCUUUCGGUUGUUGAGUCUAAAGUGUGCAUUGAUAAUUUGAGCUGUUAUUUCCGAUACCCUUUUUUGUUGUUGUUUGUUCAAUUUGUUUGCUUGGAGCUGUGUUCUGCUCGUUUUUGUGGAAGAAAUUAACAUUGCAGUGAUGAUAUUGUUGUUUUGCCAUGAACUUUCAUUGUUGAACUUCCAUUGUUUUCAAAUUGUGUAGGAUGGUUAACGAAAGUCAGCGAAAGAAGAAUGAGUCAGAGACAGUUGUUAUUAUGAUCGAGGACAUCGUCGUUAUGAACGAGACGUUCUCAGAUUUGAAAAAGAAAAACUGAUACCUGACGGGCUGUGAGUUUUUUCUUCGCAUGUGUUGACAUCGCAGCUGUAUUGGAUGGAGAAGAUGUAUUUCGUGGAAUUGUGGUGGAAUGAGGGUAACAAGAAGGUGUUCAUAUGCAUGGAGAAUGGGAGAAGGAUGGCGCCAAAGUUAAAGAAAGUAGGCGCAUACUCAAGGAUAUCAUUGACGUUUCCCUUAUUAUCCACAUGUGUGUAUCUCUCAACCUAUUUCUACCAAACAUUCGAUUCUCAAUUUGGAAAAAAUAUACUACCAAACACUGUUAGAGCA
Molecule: RNA transcript, 1421 nt
Organism: Salvia splendens (bonfire salvia)
Lineage: Eukaryota; Viridiplantae; Streptophyta; Magnoliopsida; Lamiales; Lamiaceae
Gene name: receptor-like kinase TMK4
Exons: 2
Source: RefSeq, a predicted model, not a curated record